CAGUAGCCGCGGUAAAACGGAGGGAGCUAGCGUUAUUCGGAAUUACUGGGCGUAAAGCGCACGUAGGCGGCUUUGUAAGUUAGAGGUGAAAGCCUGGAGCUCAACUCCAGAAUUGCCUUUAAGACUGCAUCGCUUGAAUCCAGGAGAGGUGAGUGGAAUUCCGAGUGUAGAGGUGAAAUUCGUAGAUAUUCGGAAGAACACCAGUGGCGAAGGCGGCUCACUGGACUGGUAUUGACGCUGAGGUGCGAAAGCGUGGGGAGCAAACAGGAUUAGAUACCCCUGUAGUCCCUGUCUCUUAUAC
Molecule: ribosomal RNA, 301 nt
Filed under: uncultured bacterium
Lineage: Bacteria
Description: partial 16S ribosomal RNA
Rfam family: Bacterial small subunit ribosomal RNA
Source: RNAcentral